GUGGCGAACGGGUGAGUAACGCGUAAUCAACCUGCCCUUCAGAGGGGGACAACAGUUGGAAACGACUGCUAAUACCGCAUACGAUCUAACCUCGGCAUCGAGGAAAGAUGAAAGGUGGCCUCUAUGUAUAAGCUAUCACUGAAGGAGGGGAUUGCGUCUGAUUAGCUAGUUGGAGGGGUAACGGCCCACCAAGGCGAUGAUCAGUAGCCGGUCUGAGAGGAUGAACGGCCACAUUGGGACUGAGACACGGCCCAGACUCCUACGGGAGGCAGCAGUGGGGAAUCUUCCGCAAUGGACGAAAGUCUGACGGAGCAACGCCGCGUGAGUGAUGACGGCCUUCGGGUUGUAAAGCUCUGUUAAUCGGGACGAAAGGCCUUCUUGCGAAUAG
RNAcentral lists this ribosomal RNA (388 nucleotides) under Veillonella parvula. Its description in RNAcentral is "bacterial SSU rRNA". It matches the Rfam family "Bacterial small subunit ribosomal RNA", at positions 95 to 466 of the family's 1533-position model. The record is from RNAcentral. Lineage: Bacteria; Bacillati; Bacillota; Negativicutes; Veillonellales; Veillonellaceae.